GCCCCCGCCUGUGCUGUACACCGCGGCUCAGCCCUUUAUGCAAGGCUGGGAAAGCCAGCCCCGGCACAUCCCUGGUUUCCCGCAACACCCAUUCUCCACACUAUGCUGGGAAUACACUGAUGGUCCUGGAUGCAAGGAGCCACCCCAUGACCCACUCCUGGUCAAAAGGGAAAGGGGGGAGGUCAAGUCCAACAAAAGGCCAAAAUCUAUUUCAUGGUGAAACCUCCGUUGUUUCCCAGGAUGCACCCUGCUUUUCUACCCUCUUCUGUGACCCAAAAGAUCUGGACCACCUUAGGCUCCAGGCUCCCAUCAGCAUCACAGCCCAUCAGUGUCAGGGGCAACAACUGAAAGCAAUUGAGAAGAAAGCAAAAUCUUCAUCAGGGUUCCUGGGAAAACAGCUGCAGAGAUUCCAGGUUCAUCCACCGCAAAGCUUCUCCCUACUCAUCUCUCCAUCUCUCCCCUCCCUUCCCCAAUCUCCCCUAGUCCCCAUCCCCCCAAAUAGCCUUCAGUCUCUUCUUUCUCUCUCAAAAAACCUCUCCCCCUGCCUUGCCAGAUCUGCUUCCACCCAAAGAAUCCUUCCUUUAAAAUCUCCCUACUGUGGGCUGCCUCUGCAGGCCAUUCUUAAUCCCCAUGUCAAAAGGCUGGAGAGCCUGGACGUCAGGACCGAAUUUUCCAGCUCUCCACCCUGUGACUCCCAGCUUCUCUGAUCCUGUCUGUAUUUACUGCUGUCACCCCUUAACCUGUCAGGUGUAAGCCCAUUUCCUAGUGAUGCCAAAAGACCCGAACACCUUAAUUCUGGAAACUCACCAAGGGUCAAGCGUUUACUCAGGCAUUAAAGCUGUCUGUGCUAGAGCAAUUUAGAUUUGUAUUUGCAAGGAAAACAUAACUAGUCCAGCAGACAUCCAUGUAUAGCUUUUCUCCAUUAACUCAAGCAAGCAAAAAGAAGCACCAUCAGCCAUAUAGAACAAGUCCCAGGGGCCUUUCUCCCGCUGGCAAAGAAGAGAAAGAGGAGAAACACUGUAGCAGCCCACGCCCCAUCCCCAGGCUCAGGCCCAAUCUCACUCUAAGAGUUUGGGGAGCCCCAGUCUCAGUGAGGAGGGGGCACACUUUAGGAUUGAAAGUUUCCAUGUCCCGGAUCAUCCAAGUCUAGCGUUCCUGUGAGUUUUGACUUGAGGUGAGGUCAGUACAGGCCGCAGGCGGGAAAUGUGCUCAAAUGCUGACUGCCUGGAAGGUCUUUUCCAUUUCGGAGUGUCGGCUGUGGGUCAGACCGUCUCAGGGAAUAAACUGUAAGUGGAGGUGAGUCUUUCCAUAUGUCUCGCAUGAAAAUUGAAAAUGACCCUUUAAUGUAGUCCAGAAUCCCCACGGAACAUUUUUAUUGUUUCAAAAGAGAAAAGGAAAAACGUAAACUAGGUCGAACGUCACGGGGUUUCUAAUCCAAAUGAACAAAGCAGGAGAACUCACCCCCAAAAUUAAGUCAAGAACCCAUCUCAGUGGGAAACAGGUGGGGCUGUGCGUCCAAGUGGACCUUUAAUAAGCACAAGCUGAUGAGGGUGGUGGUAGUAACAGGGAUUUUGAAACUGUUGAAUUGGAGGAGAGAGGCUGCCAAACUCCUGAGAGAUCCUUUAAAAUAAUUCUCAGUAUUUACUAUGGGAUUUGACACAUACAGUGCAAAACAGUUGGGGAAGAUAAUGAACAAGCCAUUCCCUCCCAGGACUGGCUCUACACACUCCACAGUGGAGUAGCUAACAGUGUUCCCUCGUGCCCUGUCCCUCAAUACAGCCCCUCCCACAGAUAAAUGAAAUUCCACUGUUAGAGAUUCUUUCCUUUGGAUUAAACAUUAUUAGUCAAUCAUGGGUAGAGAACAGAUUUCUUCCAGAUCUCCAGAAGACUAACAGUUCCAUUUUAUUUCCAUCCUAUUGUGGUGCUUCUGCAGGAGAGUAUGGAGGUAUAUUUAGUUUCAGAAUGCCUCAGAAUUCUAAAGUCAAAAGGAACCUUGGAAGCGAAGGAGGCCAAGUGUCUUCACCUGGGAGGGAGCUGAGGGCCAGAGAGGACAGAUGUGUGAGGCGGGCUUUGGCCCCUACCCCGUGGUCAGUCUCCCCUGAACCUUGGCAGAGGCGGUUUUCCAAAGCCUACACAUGGUUGCUUCUCUAGUCCACAGUCUUUCUAGGUUGACACGACAGUCCAGCCAAACACAAGGGCUUUGCGUUCCAGACAAGAAGUCGGUCCCACAGAGCUCCGCGAUCAAGGCAAGAAGCCAGCUCCCACUUCCUCCAUCUGGGAGCUGAAAAUGCUGCUUAUGUUCCUUGCAGAAAUCAAAGUGUGAACCCCCAUUCCCUACCACAACCCGUGGGAUGUAUAUGAACAGCCCCAGUGGGCAGCCAUAGCAACCAUUAGCUUAAAACCUGUUGAAACAGAGAAGUUGAAUUGGGAAGGAAAAGCAAAUCCCGUCCAGGCAUCCUGUUCUUGGGUGAAGAGAAGCAAAAGAGUUGAAGAAAACCUGAAGGUAAACCUCAGGGCAUCAUCCCACCUGGAUAGAGAGAUGAACCGGGCGCGGUGCUGUCAAGUCUUCUCCCUGGACCGCUGCUUCUGCCCACAUAACCAGCCUUCUUGGCAGAUUCCAGGGCUCUCCCUGCCAAAAGCCCUGAAGAAAUGAAGUCAGAAAACGAUCGUCAAACUCUGUGAUUCAGAGGUCACCCGCACAUCAUACCAAAACCAGCUAAAGCCACCCCAGAUCCAUAUCCAUGUCUCCCUUCUUCAGACCCAAAGGAGCCUGCAGCUUUCUUCAUUCACUUCUUAUCCUUAACAAGCCACCUGCAUAGGAAGUGCACGUGUAACCUGCAGGAUGGACCAAAGCACAAAGGGCCAUGCUGUAGAGGUUGCCUUUCAACACUUCAGCCAGAGCUGCCACAGAAAGUAGCAGUCACGGGGUUGUUAUAAUCUCUGUAUUAGUUUCUUAUUGCUGCUGUAACAAAUCACUCCAAACGUAGUUGCUUCAAACAACCCAAAUUUAUUAUCUCAAGUCACAAUUUCAGGUAGGCUCAAUUGGUUCUUCUGCUCCAAGUCUCCUGAGGCCAAAGUCAAGGUGUUGGCCAACUUGGGUUCUCAACUGGAGACCCAGGACGAAUCCACUCAGGCUCACUCAGUUGUUGGCAGAGUUCAGUCCCUUGCACCUAUCAGGCUGAGGUCCCCACCUCCCUACUGGCCAUCAGCUGGGGGCUGCUCUGCGCUCUUUAGGGCCAUCGGCACUUCCUGGCAUACUCCCCAGUGGACUGAAUCGGGCUCAAGUGUCCCUCGUGGGAGACACCAGGGGAUGAGCCACCACAAGCCGAGCAAGGCCCAUUUCCUGCCUUCAGGCAGCUCAGAUGGAGAGGGGAGCAGGUAAAGGCCACAGCUGGAGGAGGCACCCACAAAGGCAGAUGAAAAGAACAUGCAAUUCCCCUCUUUCAACAAAUCGAUUUAAUUUAAAGCACAAGCCCCCAUUCCCUUUCUUCCUAGCUGUCCUACUGUGUUUUUGUAGGGAAAGGAAGGAGAAGGCUUAUGAGACACAGACUCUGGGAAGAGGCAUCAUCUGCCUGUGCCGAGUCCCCUGGGAGAGUUCCACACCCAUGUCAGGCCCUGAGGCUUCCUGCUGCAUCAUUCUCACUCCUUCCCAAGGGCCUCUUUUGAGUUUGUAUUGGUUUUGAGUUCCUCCAAAAUCAGGUCGAUCGUUUAUUUGGAGGUGAUACCCACAGUAGUAGGGGAUACAGCAGUGAGACAGGGAAGGGAAAGAAGCUGCCACAGAGCGUGUUAUCACAGUACCCGGUGGGCAAGUGGCAUUCAGUCUUGCCAGGAACUCUGAGAAAGUGGAGAAUGAGUACAUGUGAGGGGCGAGAGAGCUGGGGUAUUGAUCCAUCGGCUCUAUCAGUGCUGACAUCAGGGCUGCUGUGGUCUCAUUUUCCAAGCACACUGGCCUACCAUUGUGCAUGGGCAGAGCAACCAGGGGAAUCCCUCUGGCAAGGAGACGCAGGGGCUGGCAGCUGGUAGACCAGCAGGCAAGGAGAAGGUGCAGUCCAAGAGCUACAGGGGCCAGGGAACACUGACCACUUCUGCUGCAACGCCUGUGUCUGUGUAUCCCGCAUCUGUCCGUGCCAGGCCAGGAGACUGGAAGCUCACUCUAUAAGACUAAGGCCCUUUCUGCCCAGACCCGUCCUGUAGCUGGUUUGCCACUAGACUCUCCCCUCAAGCUCAGAGGCCCUCUGCUCUCAGAUCCAACAAAGCUGCCUGGUUUCCCACCUACCACGGGGCAAGGGCACCACCCCUUCUCAAGGCUCCAUCAGUGUCUACACUCCCCAUCUUCUUCACCUCUCCCUCUGCCCUCCCCACAGCUGGUCUGAGGACCUGCCGUCUCACCUCAGGGAUGGGAAGAGGUCCUCUUCCACCAACACGCGGUGACCUGAAGCUAUCGAUUUUUUGCCAGGGACCUCCCCAUUCCCCACAGGGCUCGGGAAGUCACCCUGUUCACUCAUCACCCUGGUCAACAGCCGUCCUUCUCUUGCAAGGGUAAGCCUGGGAAGAGGGUACUACAACGAAAACCCUUUAAAGGAUUAUCUUAUCUUACAGACACACACUCCAGCAGCCAGAAUCCAAAGCAAAUAAAACAUGUGCCAUCCUGAAGUCCUUUCACAGGAGAGAGGAAUCCCACUGAGGCAAGCAAGGAAAGCAGUGUAAAAGAGGUGGGAACAUGUGCUGUGGGCCUGGAGAGACGAGUGGGCGUCCAGCCAGUGGAGGGGAGGUAUAAAUCAAGGCAGCUGCCUGGGAAGCCCAAACAGGGCAGGAGAGGAGGAGAUGGUCUGUGCACCCGAGAGUGUCAAGCCAAGGUUUUAACAAUGGAACAAAGAUGAAAACCCUCAAAAUAGCAAGAUGGCCUUUUCUUUCAUUCAUUCAAGGGAACACUCAGCACCUUCUUUGAGUCAGGUUCCAUGGUAAAGCACAGAGGUCAAAAAGAGGAAAGGAGAAAGUCCCAGGUCGCCAGUGGUUGUAGAGCUUGGAACAACCUCCAUAUACAGAGAACAUAAAGUCCUUUGACUCAGGACAAAAUGGAAGCUGAAAGUUCCUUAAAGAAAACAUGGAAAACAAGAAAAAAAAAGGAAUACGAAAUCGAAAGCAUUCAUCAUUCUGUCAGCUGAAGACGACCAGUGUUAACUUUAACGUGGCCCUGCACUGCUGCUGCUGCUGCUGCUAAGUCACUUCAGUCGUGUCUGACUCUGUGCAGCCCCAUAGAUGGCAGCCCACCAGGCUCCCCCGUCCCUGGGAUUCUCCAGGCAAGAACAUUGGAGUGGCUUGCCAUUUCCUUCUCCAAUGCAUGAAAGUGAAAAGUGGAAGUGAAGUCGCUCAGUCGUGUCCGACCCUCAGCGCCCCCAUGGACUGCAGCCCACCAGGCUCCUUGUCCACAGGGGGCCCUGCACUACUUUUGUCUUUAUGUAGCUUGUGCUCUGGCUUCACUAACCCAAAGCCCCAUGUCCCAGCGUGCUCUUCUGUGUGACACGUAUUUAUUUUGACUGCCCUGGGUCUUUGUGUGCCUGGGCUUUCCCUAGUCGCUGUGAGUAGGGUCUGCUCUCUAGCUGCGGUGCUUGGGCUUCUCCCUGCAGCGGCUUCAGCUGUUGCAGAGCAUGGGUUCGGUACUUGUGGCACACGGGCUUAGUUGCCUGGAGCAUGUGGGAUCUUCCCAGACCAGGGAUCGAACCCCUGUCCCGUGCAUUGGCAGGCGGAUCCUUAACCACUGGACGAACGGGGAAGUCCUCUUCUACAUGAUUUUGAAUGGCUUCAGGGUAUUCUUUCAUAGGAAUGAGCCACAAAAAUUCACUCGGUACAAGAUUCCUAGGUUUUCAGAACCGUAAGCUUUAUACACAUAUUCCUUAUGAUGAACCCAUAGCUGUAGAACUUCUGGAUCAAAGAGGGCCUAUGAGACCCAUCCAGCAUCCAUCUCCCAGAAUUUCACAUCACGUCUGAACCAAAAUCCUACUUUAGGGGCCCUGAGUGUUCAUCAUUGCAGAAAGAACUGGCUGCGACGCCGAGUGGUGCUCCUCAGAGUUAAGGGGUGCUUGGCCGAGCAUCACAACCAGAGGGAGCAGAGUGGCUCAGGACUGUUUUUGAUCAGUUCCUUACCUCCUGAGUGAUUUAGACUCGGAUGUCUCUGGAAGACAUGCCACAGGCCAUGUUUCAGGUCUGGUGCAUAUGUAGUCAAUAGAACAUCACCACAGGCUCAGAUUAGGAAGAAAGAAUAAUUUACUCAUCUUCAUUGCCCAAAUGCCACCACUUGCCAUGAUCAUUAUCAUCCCAACUUUGCUUUUCCUUCUUCCAUAUCCUGUCCUGUUUGUUCCCAUGGAUGCUUUGCCUUCUCCUGCACAUCUCAUUCAGUUGAGUUGGGUUCCUCUGGAUUCCUCAGAACAGAGUAAGAGGCAACUACAUUCAUCAGGUCUUUAGAAAAAUCCUGGCACCCAUCGGGAUCACAUGAGGUGUAAUCUGCAGGGUCAGUAGCUUCGGGAGGACUUGUAGACCAUCUUCUUUACAAGUGAAACAUAUUCCUUAUUAUCCCUUGAGUCGUUGGGUUCAUAGAGGGCGGAGCCAAAUCAAGCAAUGGUGAAAAGAUCUGUCGAGAUAAAGGUGCACAGCGGCAGUCAUUUAGGAGUUAAUUUUCUAAUGAGAAGGGGCAGACAUAACCUGCUUCAGGUGAAAAGGAGAAAUUAAAUUGUGUUUUUUUGAUCUUAGAGGCUGCCUAAUUGACACUCUCAUCAGUCACCAAUAAAAGGGAAGGCGUGGCAGAAGACUCGAGGAUGUCAGAAAGAAGCACAACCUGAGUAGAGGUGAGGCAGAGACCAGGGUUGCCCAAGGUCAUGGCAAGAGACGAGGUGGAGGGAGCCCUCCCUUUCUGACUGCUGGCUCAGUGGUCAGUCCACGCUGACCAAAAGAGGCUGCUUGUACUAUGCAAGUAAAAUAUGAACGCCCAGGUUGUUGGGGAGCAAGAAGACACUCCGAAUACGAGGUGGAAAGGGGGAGCCGGGAGCAGGAGAAACCGGACUUCCCUUUUAUGUGUUGCUUCAUGCCUCUGCUGGUGAACAGCAGGAGGAGAGAGAAAUGGCUGACUCCAAACCCACAGUUCCUGCCCUGGAGUGAAAUAAAAUACUCCGAGGCUGGUGUUUCAAUUGGUGCAAGAUUCUGAAGAGAGCCGAACACUCCCUCUUCCUUUUUGGGACAUGAAUUCCCCAGCUGAAAAAAUGCAUCACUUGGCCUUACCUGCCCUACUCCAUCACCACCUCCUUCUCAGGGAUGUCGUGACAAAGAGGUGACGGUAUCCCAUGGCUUGGAUGCUGCCUCCGCCAGAUGACACCUGACACGGGGGCAAGGUUCUUCUCAACACAGAUAGACACGUACUCACCCCGCAGCUGGAAAUUUUCCCAACAGCGCCCAUUUGGAAAUUCCAUUGUCAGUUAUAAAACAGACCUCCCCCGAGGUUGAGAGGAGGAGGGAAAGGCAGAGAUGAGUCUGAAAAUCCAAAGGACUGUAUGGUCUAAGAAUGAAAUGUUUUCUAAAUCAAAUUAAGCUACACGGUGAAAAUUGAGGAGAAAGUCCUUAAGGUGACUUUUAAAUGAAAAUGAAAUGUCUGCUAGUAAGCUACAGAGGUGUAUUGGUACCGAGUGGCAGCCUUGUAUCUCAUUAAUUUCAAACAUAGAUUUUUAUGUGAGGCUAUUUGAUUAUAAUUUGAUUAUCUGACCCUGUAAUUAAAGUUUAUUGCCAAUUUGGAAGCUUACAUGUAAAAUGAACUGGUUUUCUUCAAAGCAAUAUACAAUCCUUCGGACUCAUUGACUUCUGGUUUUGCAUUUAAAUGGAAAAGUCAGUUAUAACGUGACAAACAGGUUGGGGUUUUGAUCAUUAAUCCUGCUAAAGCAAUAUUCAUAAAUUCAAUUCUGAAUCAGUUGGAAUACUUUUCUUUUAUUAGUUUCUGUGUUAUUAAAUGAGAUUGUUUCUGACUAAUAUAUUUCUGGACUCAAACUGUAGCUCCAAGCUGUUAUUCAAAUCAAAUAACAUGCCCCUUACUUGUGCCUCGCACUAAUAAAUGCCAACUUGUGAUACAUUUGCAAGAGACUGUCAGCAAUAUUAAAGGAGGCAAUAACGCCAUGGAGGUCUCCAAGUGAGCUGAUUUUUCUAAGGGCUGAUAUCCGUCAUUUUUCUUUAAAAAAAAAAAAAAAAAAAAAACCCAGAUACUCAGAUCUUUUAGUCUUAAAGCCAAAAGCCUGAUUUGAGUCAUAGAAAUAUUGUAUAAUUCUCUAACACCUGAAUAGCCAAGACAUUGGAAUUAGAAAUUUCAUAACUUUGAGGUCCUACAUAAGAGGUAGGAAGCUGAUUUCAGACAGAGCAGAAUCAAAGUUACAUUUUGGGGAAAAAGUGCCACUUAGAAACAGAUGGGUUUUUUUUUUUUUUUUUAAUAAUACUUAGGUGAGGAGAGGCUACACUGCCUCUUUUUUAAAUUGAGAUAUUGCUAUUUUUAUUUUUUUGGCAGAGCUACAAAACAUAUGAAAUCUUCAUUCCCCCACCAGGGGUUGAUCCCAUGCCCCCUGCAGUGGACGUGCAGAGUCCCAACCACUGGACCUCCAGGGAAGUCCCUACAUUGCUUUAGAAAUUAGAAAAACUAUUCACAAAUCUUCACUGUGUUCUUGGAGCAAAAAGAGGUCUUGGAGGCUGCUUUUUCUGGCCCCAUAUUACAGAUGAGGAAACGGAGGCCCAAAGAGAAGCCACCUCAGUUACACAGCGAGUUGCUGGCAAAUUCUAAAUGCAAACACUCCCUGUAACUUUUCUCAACAUUUUCCCCACCAUCCGGCCAUCGAAAGGCUCAUAAAUAUUUGUGGAAACUUCACAGGGGCUGGAAUCGGCGGCCCAGCCACCAGCUGGCUGUUUGACCUCCAACCCAUCACCAGGAGUCUCAGCCUUCAGAUAUAGCUCCUUUCACCCUGUUUCUGAAAAGAGAUGAGACCAGAUAGAUAAACUCCAAAGGUCAGGGGACUUACAAUAGCUCACCUCUUACAGUUCAAAUGCUUUGAGAUGUGCAUACAAUGAACAGUGCAUAUUUAAAGCAUACUGUAAUAGCUUUCCUAAAUAAUCAUAAGAGCAUUGAACUUCACAUUGUUUGGGGUGAUUUUCCCUCAUUCAUCUUUUUGAACCUCCAGAGUGAGCAGGCUCUUCUCUUCCUCUCUCAUGAGGUCCCACACAUUGGCUUUGUGACUGUAGUUUGCACGUUUUCCAGCCAGUGUUCCCCUGGUGGAUUCAGGGUGGGUGUUGCUAGGUUUCCACCUUAUCACACAGUCAUGGGG
This is a long non-coding RNA of Bos taurus (domestic cattle), 9344 nucleotides long. The record is from Ensembl. NCBI's taxonomy places the organism in Eukaryota, Metazoa, Chordata, Mammalia, Artiodactyla, Bovidae.